Long non-coding RNA from Balaenoptera ricei (Rice's whale), 3441 nucleotides. RefSeq lists it as uncharacterized. NCBI's taxonomy places the organism in Eukaryota, Metazoa, Chordata, Mammalia, Artiodactyla, Balaenopteridae. The record is from RefSeq and is a predicted model, not a curated record. The transcript is spliced from 3 exons.
UUCUUACCUAUCUAUCUAUAUUCGGACUUUUUAAAAUUCAGGAAUGGAUGUUGAAUUUUAUCAAAUGUCUUUUGUAGCAUCUCUGGUUAUCAUAAUAUGGCCUAUUUCCCUACAAGCUAUUAAUUUGCUGACUUGGAUUACUAGAUUUUUAAAUAUUGAACCAUCCUUAUACUCCUGAGAUGAUCUCAUUGGGUUACAGUGGGCUGCUGAGUUCUAUAUGCUCAAGUGCUAUGUGUGUUUGCUUUUUAAUAUUUUUCCUUAAUAAGAUUAGAUUGUGGUUUAUCUUGUGUUUUGAACUUUCCCAAGGAAGCAACCCAUGCUUUUAUUAGCUUCAUUUUUCCCAAGUAAUUUAUACUUUUUAUUUCUGAAUUGGAAUUCCCUCUGGAUUGGAAUCUCUCGGGAAAGGGCAUGAGCAAUGGAUUGUCACAAGCAUCCCAGAUACAAGCAUCUUCAAGAUCUCCUUUUGGAAAUGGCUCCCCAGUCAGACCUCUAAAGGGUGGGAGGCUGAUGGGGCUGCUGCCCAAGACUGCACUUCGUGAAUCCUGAGGAUGAGGACUUUGUUUCCUUCGCCCAUUUCUGUGAUGCUCAACAGGUAAGUUGUAAGUGCUUAGGAAACAGAUUCAGACUCUGUGCCAAAAACAUCUUUCAAAGAUUUCCUCAGCCAAGUUGGAAAAAUAAGAUGCCCCAAAGAGAACUUACUAGUAACUUAGGGUUCUUUGUCCAACAUAUACUAACAAGGAUAGCAGACCAUAACCUGUCCCAGUGAACACAGCAUUCCAUUUGGUUGUAGUUUUUGCAAGCAUAGGGAUUCUGCCUAAUUUUUAAUAAGUUGAACCUUGCAGUAAAAGGAGAUUUUUAUCUACAGAAUUGAGUCACUAGAUCUGGUUACUGGUUCACAUCUGAAAAUAGUUAUACUCUGUGGAAAGCCUCAUCUAUCUGUCGGAACACAGAAUCAUUGUAUUACAGUCAAGAACACAAGGUGGUAAUUUGUUUAGCUCCAAACAGUACAGGGAGAUGGAGGGUUGCAGUGCUUGGGCAGUAGCUGUCUUUGUAGAAACACACCACCUUUCCCUAUCUAAAUAAGGUGCGGAUGCCAGCACUCCUUAAAGGGCAGCCAGGGAAAGAAGUUCUUGGUGUUUCUAUAAAGCAAACUUCUCUGCCUGCUCUCCAAAUGCACUCAGGGCUGGUGAGCUCAAGGUCAAGUUUCUGCCUGGCCUCGUGUUCCAGUCUCUAUACUGGUGUGGCCACACCUUAAAAUUCCUUUCCGCAACCCAGGUUCUCUCCAAAGCUUCCCGGCCAGAAGCCAGGUCCUUCCCUGUUACCCUGGAGCUUCAAGGGAUAAUAACCCUGGUGGGCCAGCCUGUCAGCUGUGACAGGGCCCAGGUUAUCCCUGCAAGCCAAGCAUAGGCUGGACCAGAAGCCAGGCUCUGGCCUGAGAGCAGGGGUUCCAGAAAAUCACUCGAGGUCCUACCUGGGGUCUCUUGAGCUGUGUCUGGUACCAUAACCAUAGCCAUGGGUAGCUGGGGAACUGCUGUCCAAUAAAGCCUCCUUCAAAAAGUAAACAUCCUGUCCAGAAUCCCAGAAAGCAUGAUAUUUCAAGUUCACUAAACUUAUUAAAAGCACAAAAAGCCUUCCUUCCAUGGAAAACUCAGUGAUGGUUUAAAAACAAAAAAAAUCACGCCCACUACAGCGCACUGCGCUGUAGCAAGCAUUCUGCAUAAAUUAAUAAUUUACAAGUACCUGAGCAAGUAAAAGUAUACAGAGCACCAUAGCACAGCACAGCACCGACGGCAGUAGCUCAAAGUUCUUCAAAUCAUGGUGUUUGAAACAUUAAAACAAAUUCUAAAAGUUGGUACAAAAAAUAACUCCAACUGGAGUUGAGAGAUAGAUAGUGCAAACUUCUGUCUUCAUUGUUGAACAACGGUGUUGGCUUGCUUCUCACUUUGCAUAGGCGAUGUGGGUGGCUCUGGGCACUUGAUGGGGCUGUUUGGAAGCAGGUCUGCAGGAAGAGCAACCAGAGAGGAGAAAACAAAACUGUAGUUAGAGGAGGCCCUGCCAGCGAUUUCUGCAGACACAGAUGCCUGGGUUGGAGAUGCCUUUUCUUGCACUGUGAUGUCCUUCCAGGAUCAGACCCCCACCCCCUGCCCUGGGGGCUGGAGACCCCUCUUGCUUUCAGCAGGAAUUGCAGGUCCCAGAAGGGAUCACGCUGAGAGCUGCAGCAUCUUCAGCCGUUUAUGACCCUUUCCAAAGCUACUGCUCCCGUCCGUCCACGGGAGAAGAGUGCCAUUCAACAGAAAAAUGGUGCAAGCCACAAAGGGCCAGCAUAUCUUAUCUUCCACCAGCCACAGUGUACCCAGCAGCGACUGUAUUAGUGCCGCUCCAGAGCGCAAAGCUGGGCCUGUGGGAUCCCUUGGAAACGAACAUACAGAGGAUUCUCCUUCCGGGAGGAGACCAAAACCAGCUCGCACUGAUGUCAGCAACUGGCAGACCUAAGCAACUGGCCACUGCUUGAGGUCAUUUAAAAAGAGAGCCUUCCCCAGAGGAUCUAAACAGACAUUUCUCCAAAGAAGACACACAGAUGGCCAAAAAGCACAUGACAAGAUGCUCAACAUCACUAAUUAUCAGAGGAGAAAUGUAAAUCAAAACUACAAUGAGGUAUCACCUCACACUGGUCAGAAUGGCCAUCACCAAAAAAAAUCUACAAACAAAUGCUGGAGAGGGUGUGGAGAGAAGGAACCCUCCUACACUGUUGGUAGGAGUGUAAAUUGGUGCAGCCACUAUGGAGAACAGUAUGGAGGUUCCUUAAAAAACUAAAAACAGAGUUGCCAUAUGAUCUAGCAAUCCCACUCCUGGUCAUAUAUCUAUCUAUCUAUCUGGAGAAAACCAUAAUUCGAAAAGAUACAUGCACCCCAAUGUUCAUUGCAGCACUAUUCACAACAGCCAAGACAUGGAAGCAACCUACAUGUCCAUCGACACAGGAAUGGAUAAAGAAGAUGUGGUAUGUACACAAUGGAAUACUACUCAGCCAUAAAAAAGCAUGAAAUAAUGCCAUUUGCAGCCACAUGGAUGGACCUACAGAUUAUCAUACUAAGCGAAGUAAGCCAAAGACAAAUAUCAUCUGAUAUCACUUAUGUGUGGCAUCUAAAAUAUGGCACAAAUGAACUUAUCUACAAAACCAAAAAGACUCACAGAGAACAGACUUGUGGUUUCCAAGGGGGAGGGAAGGGGAGUUUGGGGUUAGCAGAUACAAACUAUUAUAUGUAGAAUGGAUAAACAAACAACAAGGUCCUACUGUAUAGCACAGGGAACUAUAUUCAAUAUCCUAUGAUAAACCACAAUGGAAAGAAUAUAUGUAUAACUGAAUCAUUUUGCUGUACAGCAGAAAUUAACAUUGUAAAUCAACUAUACUUAAAUAAAAAAGAGAGGCCCUUCCCCUCUUCA